CCCGAGCUACAAACGCAACGCUGCUACCUACUCAUAUUCCAUUUCUUCACAAUUGUUUCUUCAUCCUUCUAAUGUACCAUUGGAUUUCAUAUCGAACUCACUUCGCCAUUUCCAUUCAGAUUUCGACGAUUCCAUCGCCGCUCACUGUGCGCACCAUUUCCCUGACUCGAUUCCAACUCAACUUACGGAAUCCACUCUCGAGCUUCCAGAAGAUGUCGCUGUAUGUCAGUAAACUGUGGGAAUGUAUCCAGAGAUGAACUUGAGUGUGUUUUCAGUAAUUUGGUUGUUGUAAUGUUCAGUUAAAAAGAUAAGGCUAUGGUUUUUUGGUAUUUGACUUUCAUUUGGAUGCGGAGAAGGCCUUGAGAGCAUUGGAAGGUUGAAAUAUAUGUGGCGAAGCUGCAGUGUCCAUUACAGCGGUGGAUGCAACAGGCAAGAACCAACAUGAGCAGGAGGACAAUAAUGAGAAUAUAACCAAACCAACUAUUGCCGAGAAUUUGUCUCCUAGGAUGGUAAAAUAGGCUGAGAGCUUUCAGCAUUCCAGAACACUAGGCGGAUGAUAUUCCAACUGAAUUUCGGAAGCCAACUCUGGAAACUCAUAUUUAUCCUCGUUCUAGCUGUUCAACCGUCAUAUCUACAGAGGAAAUGUGCCUGGUUCCUAGUAAAAGUGGCCUGGAACUUCCGGAAAGCCAUGAAGUAAAAUUAACAACAAAUGACUUCUUUGGUGCUGCUCGGUUGUGGCCUAUAUUAUUUAUUACCGGAGGUUGAAGAAGGGCCUAAUUUCAAUUGAGAAGUAUGCCAGCCGGGUUGCUCAGAAUCAGGAAUUUGGCAUUAUUGAUAAAUACUUAAGAAACAGUAGUGGAUGGGUAGAAUUUAGUCUUGAAAACCCUUGAUAAUUGGUACUGUCACAAAUGAUGCCUUACCAGUAGAUUUAUCCCAAAAUGGGCUCUGUGUCUAUGGCGUUUCUGUUUUUAUCUCCGCGCCUCUCGAUGGAAUUAAGAUGUGACUAUUCAAUAAUGAUUUCCAAAGAACUUUUCCCUGAGGUUGGGUGUGUCAUGGAGAAAAAGGUGCUGCUCAUCAUCCAUCCAAAUUUAAUCAAUUUUCUGGUAACUGGUAUACAAUUACUAUAGCUGUUUUCUUUCUUUUAUGAGGAGGGUGGGUUUUGGAUUAAAUGUUAGUAACAGAUGUGUAAUUAAUAAUUAUAUUAAUCUCGUGUUUAUCGAGAUCUCCGUGGAACAGUAGGAAUCAGAAAGGAAAGACAUUUCCAUAAUGGCCAACUUGUUUUGAUUAACAUGGUAGUAUAUUAUAGAAGAUGGAAAAUACAAUUGUAUAUGGAAAAUUGCGAUAAUGCAUUUGGCUGGUGUUACCAAAAAUAAUUUUCUUUCCAUUUGACAUAAGGAAUAGGAAUGGGGAAUUUGAGAAGAGGAAGAGUAAGAGUUUAAGGAGAUAAGAGCUUGCAUUUCUCUGCUAGUUUUGCUCUUCAUUGGAUUUUUGUUGUUUUUGAUUCAGUUUUAAUGAGUCAGCAAUUAAUAUUCCACAUCAGAUUUAUUAUGCCAUGUCACUCAGUGCCAAGUCUUGAGAAAUUUGUCACAUCAGUUAAAUGAAAAAACCCUCUAGGGAUUAAAGUGUGACUGUUUUAAAUAUUGUAGGAAUAGGGAAAAAAAACAACAAAAAUUGGUGAAACGAAAAUCAAAUUUGGUUAGAUUGGCAAGGACUAAAUAAAUGUUUAAACCUAAUAUAAUACAAUUUACUAAUGAAAUAAAUAGAUAGAUAAUGCUUUAAAAAUAAUAGAUUGAUGGAUAAGGGAUGUUAAAAAAUUAGAUGGAUAGGUAAGGUGAAAAUUAUAGUUAGAUACUAUUUACACAAGUAUUUCUUUCAAACUAUAAAUGUUAAAAAAUUCCCUUGUUCCGAAGUUAAUUUUCGGACGCCCUCUAUAAAUUUUCUUCAUAUGAAAAUGACUAAAGAGAUUUGUCUAAGUUAAAAUCUGGAUACUAUAUUCGUAGGAAAUGAUACACUUGAGUAUUUUUACGAAAUAAAAAUUUGCAGGCAAUUCCGGAGUAAAAUCCUCAGGAAAAGUCGCUGAAAAUCCGCAGCCCAUUCCAUUUAGAACUUCUGGUAUUACUUGCAGAAAAUGCAGAAAAUACUACAAGUAUAUCCGCAGGGAUGUGAAAUAUUAGAAAAUCUAUGGAGUUUGCCACGGAAAUUUUAGGGCAGCGUCCGGAAAUGUGAAAUAUUAGAAAACCUAUGGAAUUUGCCACGAAAAUUUUAGGGGUGCGUCCGGAAGUUGCAUCCGGAAGAUAACUUCUGUAUGUAACGAAAGGGUAUUUUCGAAUUUUUAUAGGGUGUCGGAGAAAUAUGUAAAAUUUAUUUAGCAACUCCAAAUUAUACCAGCUGAUAUCAUCAAUUACUGAUAUAACCUGUAAUGAUUUAUUUAUGAGCGUAAGACUAAUAUAGUACUAUCACCCUUCAAUUCUAAGACUUUACUCGCAUUGAUUUCUGGUUUAAUGCAUUGAUGUUCCUUUUUUGGACCCUGUUUUUUUGAAAAGGAAGGUAAAGAGGGGUUAUGAUUUUAUGAUACCGACUUCGUAUUGUUUGGUAUCACGAUCAUCAAGGAGAUGGGUGGAUUAGUUUUCUGCAGUGCUCAUUUAAAUUUGUAAUAUUUGCAUUUCUGCACACAUAAAGUGAGGAGAAAAACAAAUCUUAUAUAACAUUAGAUUAUGUAUUUUUUUUUUUACACGUAUUUUUUUUGUUUCAUUUUUGCUACCAGUAUCCGAUCCACUAGACUGCUUAAUUUAAUUCGGGGUCAAUUAUGGUAUAAGUGAUUCCAAUUAAUCUAAUUCAGGGUCAAUUAUGGUAUAAGUGAUUCCAAUUUCCUUUCGAUCGAAAUACACGUUGUAUUCCUACCAAAACAAAAUUUUACAUUGUAUUAUUUGUUUAUGCAUACCGAUAAAAAUUUGAAAAAUGAAAAAACUAAAGGUAAUAACAAAAGUCUGUGUAGGUGUCGGUAUGUGACACCACCACGGACACAUAAUUUUUUCAGAGGUGUUAGUGUUACAUAGCUCUGUUUGGUGACCUCGGUGAGUCCCUGUUACCUUGUGUUUGUGCGUCAUUGUACUGUGAUUUUUUAAAGCUAAUGUUAGCUUUUAGUUAACGUGCGGCCUAACCGUGUAUUUUUAAGUAAUUCCAACGUAGGCUUAAUUCCUUUUCCUUUCCCUUGUAAAAUUGACUUAAUUUGUACAGUAUGUAGUUUGAGUUGAGCCCUUGGACCCUCAUCUUGAUGACCUACCCCAUUAUUUCCCUUCUCUUAGCUGUGAUCCUUGCACAUCAUUUAUUGAUGUUAAUCACAAUAAUAACUAGGAGUUUUGAUGAUGCCUUGAUAGUCUUAGCAUGGAGUAUUCAAGUUAGGAGUGAAAGCAAAAUAAAAUUCUGAAUUGAAGUGACAAGUGUGAACAGUAAAUUUUUAAUUUUGAGAAGUUAAAAUUCAAAUAAAAAAAUGAUGAUCAUGGUGAAGUUAGGAUGAGAAAAUGGAUGGGCAUUUAUCAUAGGGAACAAAAUAUCUCCUUCAUUAUUCUCAACUGUCUCAAUUACUCUUGCAUUUAUGUGAUUUAAAUGUUGUUAAUAGAGUCUCCUUUUUUUUCAAUGCUUGGAACUACCCAACCGACCCUCUACCAUCUUUCAAUUCACCUAAUUGAUUAUCCCUGUCUUUCAAUUCAAACCUUCAAUGACAUUUUCAAUACUAUAUACUUCGUACAGCACAGCACAUAUUAUGACUUUCAUGCCAUUGCUCUCAUUAUACUUGUGUAUCAUGAUUGUAACCUAUAACAGCUUGGUCUUUUUGUUUAUUUGAGUUUUCUUUAUAGGAUAAACUUGACAUUCUGAUUAACUUGAUUCAUGUAAGAGGAGGAAAUGAACCUACCUACUACACCUAUAUAAUAAGGAUUUAAUUUGCAUAUAUCAUUAUCAUAAUAAACAUUUCAACAUUCAAUUAAAUCUUAUUAUGUACUUCUUCCUUCUCAUAAAAAUAAUUCAUAUUUACUAUUUAUAACCAGUUCUUAAAUUAAUGAUAAAAAUAAUUAUUUACUAAAAUUACUUUAUUAGUUGUAGCUAGUGGAGCGAGAAUCAAUAAAUAAAAGCAUAACCGUGGAAAAAUAGUCAUAAAUAUUUUAUUGAUAGAGAUAAAAAAAAAAGCACAAACAAAAUACUUUUUAUGAGUAGAUAGAGAUAAAAAAAAUAGAGAUAUUUCGAAAACUAUAACAUAACAAAGUUUGGUCUUUUUUUAUCUGAUUUAC
Molecule: long non-coding RNA, 4286 nt
Organism: Vicia villosa (hairy vetch)
Lineage: Eukaryota; Viridiplantae; Streptophyta; Magnoliopsida; Fabales; Fabaceae
Exons: 3
Source: RefSeq, a predicted model, not a curated record